This 320-nucleotide ribosomal RNA is filed under the name uncultured bacterium. Its description in RNAcentral is "bacterial SSU rRNA". It matches the Rfam family "Bacterial small subunit ribosomal RNA", at positions 28 to 342 of the family's 1533-position model. The record is from RNAcentral.
GACGAACGCUGGCGGCGUGCCUAACACAUGCAAGUGGAGCGACGACCCAGGCUUCGGCCUGGUGCAAAGCCGCGAACGGGUGAGUAACACGUGGGUAACCUGCCCCGAUGAUUGGGACAACCCGAGGAAACUCGGGCUAAUACCGAAUGUGCCCUCCAGCUAUAAGGCUGCUGGGGAAAGGAAGCUUCGGCCUCCGCAUCGGGAUGGGCCCGCGGCCCAUUAGCUUGUUGGUGAGGAAUGGCUCACCAAGGCUACGAUGGGUAGCUGGUCUGAGAGGACGAUCAGCCACACUGGGACUGAGACACGGCCCAGACUCCUAC